CUUAGUGGCGCACGGGUGCGUAACGCGUAUGCAACCUACCUUUUCCAGGGGGAUAGCCUUCCGAAAGGGAGAUUAACACCGCAUAACACCCUAGACCGGCCUCGGUUCAGGGUAAAAUCUACGGAGGGAAAAGAUGGGCAUGCGUCCGAUUAGCUAGUUGGCGGGGUAGUGGCCCACCAAGGCCACGAUCGGUCGGGGACCUGAGAGGGCGAUCCCCCACACUGGCACUGAGAUACGGGCCAG
Molecule: ribosomal RNA, 243 nt
Filed under: uncultured bacterium
Lineage: Bacteria
Description: partial 16S ribosomal RNA
Rfam family: Bacterial small subunit ribosomal RNA
Source: RNAcentral